CGACUCUCGGCAACGGAUAUCUCGGCUCUCGCAUCGAUGAAGAACGUAGCGAACUGCGAUACUUGGUGUGAAUUGCAGAAUCCCGUGAACCAUCGAGUCUUUGAACGCAAGUUGCGCCCGAAGCCAUUCGGCGGAGGGCACGUUUGCCUGGGUGUCACAC
This 160-nucleotide ribosomal RNA is filed under the name Syzygium floribundum. RNAcentral describes it as "5.8S ribosomal RNA". It matches the Rfam family "5.8S ribosomal RNA". Rfam says of the family: 5.8S ribosomal RNA (5.8S rRNA) is a component of the large subunit of the eukaryotic ribosome. It is transcribed by RNA polymerase I as part of the 45S precursor that also contains 18S and 28S rRNA. Lineage: Eukaryota; Viridiplantae; Streptophyta; Magnoliopsida; Myrtales; Myrtaceae. The record is from RNAcentral.